UUCCGCGCUAAGUGACCGCUCUCGUCGUCAGCUCUGAUGAAAGAUUCUUCGAUCGCCAAUGCGCUCAGUGAUGAACAUUGUAACUACGGAGCGAACAUUUGAAAAUGUGUUACAGGUAUUCUACGUGCUACACAUUUCUAAUUUAUCGCUAAGAAGAGUCGGAUGAGACCACGCGGAUCGGAGUGUUGCGUGCAUCUUGCGUUUUAAAAUUUGUAUGUUAAUCAUACAAGUUUAACGCGCGAGAAGACAGUGUUCGGAAUCAGAGGACACGGACGCAGCCAGAAUUGGUCUGCUAUCCACAAAAAUCGGUCGUUUUCCUUCGGACGAUAAAAAAAAGUCUCCAUUGUUCCUCAAACGGAU
Pseudomyrmex gracilis is the source of this 360-nucleotide long non-coding RNA. RefSeq lists it as uncharacterized. The transcript is spliced from 3 exons. Lineage: Eukaryota; Metazoa; Arthropoda; Insecta; Hymenoptera; Formicidae. The record is from RefSeq and is a predicted model, not a curated record.